GAUGGUUCAUGGGUCACACACCCCAAAGUCGGGCUUGUUCCUCUCUGGUUCUGGGUGCGUGACCCAAGAACUGCA
This is a non-coding RNA of Myotis davidii, 75 nucleotides long. The record is from Rfam. NCBI's taxonomy places the organism in Eukaryota, Metazoa, Chordata, Mammalia, Chiroptera, Vespertilionidae.